This 465-nucleotide ribosomal RNA is filed under the name uncultured bacterium. Its description in RNAcentral is "bacterial SSU rRNA". It matches the Rfam family "Bacterial small subunit ribosomal RNA", at positions 337 to 794 of the family's 1533-position model. The record is from RNAcentral.
ACCUACGGGAGGCAGCAGUGGGGAAUUUUGGACAAUGGGCGCAAGCCUGAUCCAGCCAUGCCGCGUGAGUGAAGAAGGCCUUCGGGUUGUAAAGCUCUUUCGGCCGGAACGAAAUCGACCGGGCUAAUACCCCGGUUGUAUGACGGUACCGGAAGAAGAAGCACCGGCUAACUACGUGCCAGCAGCCGCGGUAAUACGUAGGGUGCAGGCGUUAAUCGGAAUUACUGGGCGUAAAGCGUGCGCAGGCGGCUUCCUAAGUCAGAUGUGAAAUCCCCGGGCUUAACCUGGGAACUGCGUUUGAAACUGGGAGGCUAGAGUGCGGCAGAGGGAGGUGGAAUUCCACGUGUAGCAGUGAAAUGCGUAGAUAUGUGGAGGAACACCGAUGGCGAAGGCAGCCUCCUGGGCCAGCACUGACGCUCAUGCACGAAAGCGUGGGGAGCAAACAGGAUUAGAUACCCCGGUAGC